AGCGAACGCUGGCGGUAGGCCUAACACAUGCAAGUCGAACGGCAGCACAGUAAGAGCUUGCUCUUACGGGUGGCGAGUGGCGGACGGGAGAGGAAUAUAUCGGAAUCUACUUUUUCGUGUGGGUUAACGUAGGGAAAACUACUCUCAUACCGCAUACGACCUACGGGUGAAAGCAGUGGAUCUUUGGAGCUUGUGCGAAUGAAUGAGCGGAUGUCGGGUUAGCUGGUUGGCGGGGUGAUGGCCAACCAAGUGGACGAUCCGUAGCCGGUCUGUGUGGAUGGUCACCCGCACUGGAGCUGAGACACGGUCCAGAGUACUGCGGGAGGCAGCAGUGGGGAAUGGUGGACAGUAGGCGCAAACCUGGUCCAACCAUCCCACGUGUGAUGAGGAGGCCUUCGGGUUGUGAUGCCCUUUUGUUGGGAAAGAAAAGCAGCAGGUUAAUACGCCGCUUUUCUGACGGUACCCAAUGAAUAAGCACCGGCUAACUUCGUG
This 492-nucleotide ribosomal RNA is filed under the name uncultured bacterium. Its description in RNAcentral is "partial 16S ribosomal RNA". It matches the Rfam family "Bacterial small subunit ribosomal RNA", at positions 29 to 507 of the family's 1533-position model. The record is from RNAcentral.